GACGAACGCUGGCGGCGUGCUUAACACAUGCAAGUCGAACGGAAAGGCCCCUUUGGGGGUACUCGAGUGGCGCACGGGUGAGUAACACGUGAGUAACCUGCCCUUGACUUCGGGAUAACUUCAGGAAACUGGGGCUAAUACCGGAUAGGAAUCCUUGCUGCAUGGUGGGGGUUGGAAAGCUUCGGCGGUUUUGGAUGGACUCGCGGCUUAUCAGCUUGUUGGUGGGGUAGUGGCUUACCAAGGCUUUGACGGGUAGCCGGCCUGAGAGGGCGACCGGCCACAUUGGGACUGAGAUACGGCCCAGACUCCUACGGGAGGCAGCAGUGGGGAAUAUUGCACAAUGGGCGGAAGCCUGAUGCAGCAACGCCGCGUGCGGGAUGACGGCCUUCGGGCUGGAAACCGCUUUCAGCAGGGGCGAAGCUUGUGGUGACGGUACCUGCAGAAGAAGCACCGGCUAACUACGUG
Molecule: ribosomal RNA, 465 nt
Filed under: uncultured bacterium
Lineage: Bacteria
Description: partial 16S ribosomal RNA
Rfam family: Bacterial small subunit ribosomal RNA
Source: RNAcentral